RNAcentral lists this ribosomal RNA (790 nucleotides) under uncultured bacterium. Its description in RNAcentral is "bacterial SSU rRNA". It matches the Rfam family "Bacterial small subunit ribosomal RNA", at positions 8 to 796 of the family's 1533-position model. The record is from RNAcentral.
AGAGUUUGAUCAUGGCUCAGAGCGAACGCUGGCGGCGUGCUUAACACAUGCAAGUCGAGUGCGCGUUUCCGUAGCAAUACGGAGAUGGCGCACGGCGCACGGGUGCGUAACACGUGGGUAAUCUGCCCUCUGAUGGGGAAUAACCCGCCGAAAGGCGGGCUAAUUCCGCAUAACAUUCCUUGGACUCCGGUUCGAGGAUUCAAAGGCGUAAGUCGUCGGAGGUGGAGCCCGCGCACGAUUAGCUAGUUGGUGAGGUAAUGGCUCACCAAGGCUUUGAUCGUUAGCUGGUCUGAGAGGAUGGCCAGCCACACUGGAACUGAGACACGGUCCAGACUCCUACGGGAGGCAGCAGUGGGGAAUCUUGCACAAUGGGCGAAAGCCUGAUGCAGCGACGCCGCGUGGGGGAUGAAGCUUCUCGGAGUGUAAACCCCUUUCGACCGGGACGAAUACCUCGCAAGAGGAGUGACGGUACCGGUAUAAGAAGCCCCGGCUAACUACGUGCCAGCAGCCGCGGUAAGACGUAGGGGGCCAGCGUUGCUCGGAAUUACUGGGUGUAAAGGGUUCGUAGGCGGUGUGGCAAGUCGGGAGUGAAAUCUCUGGGCUUAACUCAGGGGCUGCUUCCGAAACUGCCGUGCUAGAGUGUGGGAGAGGCGCGUGGAAUUGCAGGUGUAGCGGUGAAAUGCGUAGAUAUCUGCAGGAACACCCGUGGCGAAAGCGGCGCGCUGGACCACUACUGACGCUGAGGAACGAAAGCUAGGGGAGCAAACAGGAUUAGAUACCCUAGUAGUCC